RNAcentral lists this ribosomal RNA (403 nucleotides) under uncultured bacterium. RNAcentral describes it as "partial 16S ribosomal RNA". It matches the Rfam family "Bacterial small subunit ribosomal RNA", at positions 29 to 526 of the family's 1533-position model. The record is from RNAcentral.
AUUGAACGCUGGCGGCAGGCCUAACACAUGCAAGUCGAGCGAGCGGCGGACGGGUGAGUAAUGUAUGGGGACUGCCCGAUAGAGGGGGAUAACUACUGGAAACGGUGGCUAAUACCGCAUACUAUCGGAUAACCCAUAUGGGAUUAGCUAGUAGGUGGGGGAAAGGCUCACCGAGGCGACGAUCUCUAGCUGGUCUGAGAGGAUGAUCAGCAACUGUGGGACGGAGAAACGGCCCAGACUCCUACGGAGGGAGCAGUGGGGGAUAUUGCACAAUGGGCGAAAGCCGGAUGCAGCGACGCCGCGUGGGGGCUGAAGGCUUUCGGGUUGUAAACCUCUUUCGCUAUCGAACCGGUAGGUGGAGAAGAAGCGCCGGCUAACUACGUGCCAGCAGCCGCGGUAAUAC